UGAGGAAUAUUGGGCAAUGCCCGCAAGGGUGACCCAGCAACGCCGCGUGGAGGAUGAAUGUCGUAAGAUUGUAAACUCCUGUUAGAGGGGAAGAAUAGUACCGGUUGGACCGGUAUAUGACUGUACCCUCAGAGAAAGCCCCGGCUAACUACGUGCCAGCAGCCGCGGUAAUACGUAGGGGGCAAGCGUUGUCCGGAUUUACUGGGUGUAAAGGGCGCGCAGGCGGGAUAAAAAGUCAGUGGUGAAAUCCUACAGCUUAACUGUAGAACUGCCUUUGAUACUUUUAUUCUCGAGUUCGGGAGAGAGAGACGGAAUUCCAGGUGUAGUGGUGAAAUACGUAGAUAUCUGGAAGAACACCAGUUGCGAAGGCGGUCUCUUGGUCCGACACUGACGCUGAGGCGCGAAAGCCAGGGGAGCAAACG
Molecule: ribosomal RNA, 422 nt
Filed under: uncultured bacterium
Lineage: Bacteria
Description: bacterial SSU rRNA
Rfam family: Bacterial small subunit ribosomal RNA
Source: RNAcentral